CAUGCCGAGCCCGUUCCGCUGUGCCCAGGGAGAAGGGGGAAUAAAAAAAAAAAAAAGGAGAGGGAGAUCGUGAGUUCUCCUCGGCUUCACGUUCUCAGAGAGCAGGCCAGGUAGGGGCCCAGGAAUGCGCUCCCAUCCGUGGCUGUCCGGAAAACCGCUGUAAAGUUCGAGAAUGUGCCUGCUCGCUCGAGCAGUCCUGCCACGGUUGCUUAAAAAUUAGCAGGGAGGAAAAAAAAAAAAAAUUAGCAUGUAAGAUAGUCUUGUUCUUCAUCUGCUGUUGAGGCUGCACCUCCACCAAUGGCCUCUCCUGGUCUCCCACAGUGCCGAGCCUUAGCUGCUCUCCAUGAUGCUUCUACGACCUGGGUGAUGCUUACUCUUACCAAGUGCUGCUGCCAACAUGAGCUACAAUGGAGGCCUCUGGAAACAGCUUCUCUGUGCUCUCAGGAAACACUUCCUAGAAGAUUUCAGCUCAGUGAUGCUAGUCUCUUCUUAAUCUCUGGUACGGCCUUGUUGAAGGAAGCAUGUCACUGUCGGAGUGGGCUUUGAGGUCUCAUACAUGCUCAAGCCACUCCCAGUGCCCCAGACCACUUCCUGUUGCCUACAAGAUAUAGGACUCUCAGCUACAGCUACAGCACCAUGUCUGCCUACACUCUACCGUGUCCCACCAUGGAGACAAUGGACUGAACCUCUAAACUGUAAAAGGACCACCCCAAUUAAAUGUUUUCCUUUAUAAGA
Peromyscus maniculatus bairdii (prairie deer mouse) is the source of this 735-nucleotide long non-coding RNA. RefSeq lists it as uncharacterized. NCBI's taxonomy places the organism in Eukaryota, Metazoa, Chordata, Mammalia, Rodentia, Cricetidae. The record is from RefSeq and is a predicted model, not a curated record.